Molecule: long non-coding RNA, 541 nt
Filed under: Anser brachyrhynchus (Pink-footed goose)
Lineage: Eukaryota; Metazoa; Chordata; Aves; Anseriformes; Anatidae
Description: lncRNA (ENSABRG00000010529.1)
Source: RNAcentral
GGGAUGGUUGGACCAGAUGAUCUUGGAGGCCUUUUCCAACCCUAAUGGUUCUAUGAUUAUAUGAUUCCAAACUCCAGGGUCUGACAGAUGCCCACAAGGCUGUGCCCUUGUCAGAUGUUCUUACAUCAGGUGCAAUGCCUGGUAAACACCAGAUCUUUCUGCCUAUUCUCCAGGGUUUUUCAGUUCCUCAGUCCCCAUCCAUGUGUAUGCAUCUGAGUCCCAGACCCAAGGCCACAGGCUCACACAGCAUCGUUUACAGGACGGUGGAGUAAUUAAGUUCACAUGUUCAUUUGGACUGAAUAAACUGCAGCACUCUAAGGAAGCUCGGUGGGCUCCUCUGCUGUGGAGACCAGGAGGCAGAGCACCCAGCUGCCGAGGUGGACAUCAGCCUGGUACCAGAUGCAACCAGCACAUACACCAAGUAGUGCCUCUUCUGACAGUACAUUUGAUGAUAUGGAGGUCUGUUAUCCAUUGUCUCAGAAAGCAAAAAUUGCACAACAAAGACUAUGAACUGGCAGCACUGGAAAAUCCUUCAAAGUGA